UACUCGAGUGGCGAACGGGUGAGUAACACGUGGGUGAUCUGCCAUGCACUUCGGGAUAAGCCUGGGAAACUGGGUCUAAUACCGGAUAGGAGCCAUUUUUAGUGUGAUGGUUGGAAAGUUUUUUCGGUGUAGGAUGAGCUCGCGGCCUAUCAGCUUGUUGGUGGGGUAAUGGCCUACCAAGGCGGCGACGGGUAGCCGGCCUGAGAGGGUGGACGGCCACAUUGGGACUGAGAUACGGCCCAG
RNAcentral lists this ribosomal RNA (243 nucleotides) under uncultured Actinomycetales bacterium. Its description in RNAcentral is "partial 16S ribosomal RNA". It matches the Rfam family "Bacterial small subunit ribosomal RNA", at positions 88 to 334 of the family's 1533-position model. The record is from RNAcentral. Lineage: Bacteria; Bacillati; Actinomycetota; Actinomycetes; Actinomycetales.